ACUGCGCCACGAUGGGAACUCCUCAGCACUCUCUUAAUUCCAGCCACUGUUUCACUUUUAAAUGCACCUUAAACAGCGCGUCUUUCUUUGAUUCUUUUCACCUUGCCCGUGUUUGUAGAAGGAAUGAUCAUCCUUGAUUUAUGAGUCAGCCGAGCUGUGCGUAAUUAUUUCUUCAUCUUUACUCAUGGAUUCUUCCAUCCUUUAAUCAUGCUUGUUUUUCCCUAAACUGUCACUUUCUCUACAUUUGUCUGGUAAUGAGGCAGCUGCUGCCGUGUCCAGUUCCUGUUCCGGGGACUCAGGGGCUGAAGAGGGCAGUUAAUGUGCUCAGGCCCCGCCCCUGCCCCUUCACGUUAUGAAUCAGCUUGGCGCUGAUUGAUUGUUCAGCACUUAACACUUUCCUAAUUUCAGCCAUUGUGUUUAUUGGAAGUGCAUGGACCGUGGAAUACCGUGGUUCGCCUCCCUCUCUCCAUCUCUCUGUCUCUCUCUCUCAGUUGUGGUUGGAUGCAUCGCUUCUGCUCUGUGAAUGUACUUACGCACGGUGGCUGCUGAAGAAGGCUCUACACCCACCUCAAUUUUACAUGCUUUUCUGAGUCUCUUUUCUGAAUUUUUUGUGGGCGGGAAUUCUGGAAUAGACAUUGUGAGGUGAAGGAGGGGACUCUGGACCUAGUUUCCCAGAGUCAAGGUUCAAAUCCCCGCCUUCCUCCUCCCCCUUCGUUGUGAGUGACCUUAGGCAAGUCCCUUAACCGCUAGAAGCCUAGCUUUCCUGAUCCAUGGAAGGGAAAUACCCUUGCCUGCUCCCCAGGGUUGCUGUGAGGAUGAGCAGGGACUCACGUGAGCACAGAAUGGGGCAGCGCCCCAGGUGAUAUGCAUUUCCUUCUGUUCGUGCACUUGGCUCCUUUUCCAAACUUUUGGGGUUUGUCGACUAAGAAAAUCUCAAAAUACAUUUUGAUGAGCAUGGCGUUGGCCAAGUCUUUUUUUUUUUUGCCAACUUUCUCUUUUGCCAAGAAAGAACAGUAUAAAAAAACAAAACAAAACAGCAACACAACCUCCGUCUAUUGUCACUAGAUCUCAUAAAAGAAUAUUUGAAAGCAGAAAAUAAAGAGGAUAUCAUUUAAGAAUUAAAAAUGGAAUUGCAUACCUUUAGCUUGUGAAAACCCUCUCUGCAUUAUUCUCAUUUAUCUUAUCUCACUAGGGAAUGGGUGGAAACUUGGAUCCAUAUUUGGGAACCGUUGAGCUCGUUGACAAGUCAGAAGAGCUUUCCAGAUGAGAAAACUGAGGCUUCCACAGCUUUUGGAAAAAGUUCCCCGGAGUCACACCACAGCUGAUGAUUUACCACCGGCUGAGCCCCAGGUCAUCAGGGAACCACCCUGCUGGUCUUGAAGAAGCGAGCUGCAAGGAAAGAAUUCUUCCAACAAGCACACAAGCUUGGAAGAGGACCCCAAGCCUCAGAGGAGACACCAACCCUGGCCACUGCCUGCACUGCAGCUGACCCUGAGCAGAGGAUCCUACUAAGCCAUGCUCAACCUUGGAAACUUCAAGGUCGUAAGUCUAUGUUGUCUAAACCACUAGAAACACACAGCAAUAGAAAACUAAGAGAGGUGGUAAAAAAAAAAAAAAGCAUAAACAAAGGAAAAGGCAACUUAGGAGAUAGAGGAUGAGAUAGCUUCAUUUCCUAACAAACACGAAAUGCCAGUCUUAUUCAGCUUUAGGCAUGUUUGCUGGAUUUUUGCCACUCACAGUAUUCCUACCUCCUACCUCUAAAGUCUUUCAAACAAUGUAGGUAAAGUUGUUUGUAUUUUAUGCCAAUGGAUUAAUGCCAAAUGCUAUGGAUAAGAGGACAAAUACUCUUAAACUAAAUGUAGCUGUCAUCCAGUAAACUUGAGCAAAUUGGCUGUAAAGGACGAAGACAGAGAAGCUAUUGGAAAAUCUGUUCCUCUCCCCCCGUGGAAAGAUUUCUGUUUUUUAUAAUAUAUAAUCAUUAUUUUUAAAAAAUCUAACAAUAGAGACAAAAUGGAAAGGUAUCCUUCUAGGAAAGUCAGUUUUAAGAUUAAGAAAUCAAUGCAAGGAGGGUAUGUGAGGAGGCACUCCUUUAUGUGAAUGGGGGAAAGAAAAGGCUCAAGUCCCUGCACAGGCGCUGCACCCUGGUCCUAGGUGGCCCCCAUAAAAGCUGCCACCACUGUCAUCAUUAUUAAACACACACAAGCCCUUUUAUGUCCAUGUGCUUUCUUGUGUAGUAAGUGCCCAUAGGGAAGAGAUGGGAGUUUGAGAGAAACAAAAUGAGAAGCUGGUAGUCCUGGAAGAUGAAGGCUGACACCCAUGGGUCCUUCCCAUGUGGCAUUCAGAUCAUGCUUGGCCAGACCAGGCUAGUUGGGACGGUGCUGUCCUAGGAGUCAUCACGUGGCCUGAGUGUCCUUUUGACUUUAGAAGGAGCAGAAAAGGAGGCUACCUUUGAGGUGUGAUUUAAAAGCUAGGGAUAAAACUCUGGGCUCAAAAUUAUUUCAGUGACUACCUUUCACUGGACUCCAGGUCACUGCUAAAGAUUCAUUUGGGUGAUUUUGAAAGGUUUUCUGCUUUCAAGAAGACCUUCAUGAACACAGAUAUCCCUGGGAGACACAAAAGGGAGGCUAAACCUUGGAAAAGAUUAGAUGGAACCAGUUGAUAGUACGAGAAUGGCUAAAAAGUGAGAAGAAAGAGAAAGGGCCCAAAUUCCUGGAAACAGCUUAGCCUCUCUUACUGCCUUGUGUGAACAAGAGGGGUGUGUGUGUGUUUGUGUGUGUGUGUGCGCGCGCGCCUCCACUCCUCCCUCCUGCAUCCACUUCAGACAUUGCUGAUGGAUUGGAUGGUGAUGCACAUGCCUACUGGCCUUGAGCAUCCUUCUUACACAGAUUCCCCUUGCUGCCACUGCCAGUCAGCCAGGGCAGGCUGGUGAGAUGAAGCCUUGCUGACCUGAAACCAGGUCCUGGGCAAGCCUUGACUCCUUGGGAUAAGGACUUGAAAAGGUCAUUUCAAGGCGCAGGACAAUACACGAAUUUUGGGGCCCCAGGAUUAGUACAGUGAUAAUAUAAUUAACCACCUGAAUGGUGUUGGUGAUAUGAUAUCAUCUCAUGUAAUCCUCACAACACUCUAUGAGUGCUCCCAUUAAACAGACAGAUCAGGAAAGGCUCAGCUAGUACAUGUCGGUCCCAGGAUCUCCAUUUGAGUCUCCUAACACCGAGCUCAUAUCCUUUCCACCACCCCGUCAGAGCCUGGCUCAGGCACAGCUGUCUGAACUAAUGGGGGCAGUAGUAGAUAAUAACGCAGAAGGAAAGCACCAAACCACUCCAAAAUGGCUUUCACCCCCAUCAUUUUUCCCUGAGACACCCUGGCUAAACUUACCAUCAAUAAUCCCCAUGUUUCUGAAUUCCCUGGGCAUUAAAACACAAACAACAAUUCAUUAAUAAAUUUUCGUUUGAAAAAUGCAAGCCCUUCCAAAGUACGCAGAGUAAAGGGGAGUCUUCCUUCACCUAUCCGUACUAACUCUA
Molecule: non-coding RNA, 3521 nt
Organism: Sus scrofa (pig)
Lineage: Eukaryota; Metazoa; Chordata; Mammalia; Artiodactyla; Suidae
Source: RefSeq, a predicted model, not a curated record